AUACUUACCUGGCAGGGGAGAUACCAUGAUCAAGAAGGUGGUUCACCCAGGGCGAGGCUCAGCCAUUGCACUCCGGGUUGCGCUGACCCCUGCGAAUUCCCCAAAAUGUGGGAGUCUCGACUGCAUAAUUUCUGGUAGUGGGGGACUGCGUUCGCGGCCUCUCC
This 164-nucleotide small nuclear RNA is filed under the name Lates calcarifer (barramundi perch). Its description in RNAcentral is "U1 spliceosomal RNA (ENSLCAG00010020444.1)". It matches the Rfam family "U1 spliceosomal RNA". From Rfam's summary of the family: U1 is a small nuclear RNA (snRNA) component of the spliceosome (involved in pre-mRNA splicing). Its 5' end forms complementary base pairs with the 5' splice junction, thus defining the 5' donor site of an intron. Lineage: Eukaryota; Metazoa; Chordata; Actinopteri; Centropomidae. The record is from RNAcentral.